RNAcentral lists this ribosomal RNA (497 nucleotides) under uncultured bacterium. RNAcentral's name for it is "partial 16S ribosomal RNA". It matches the Rfam family "Bacterial small subunit ribosomal RNA", at positions 28 to 507 of the family's 1533-position model. The record is from RNAcentral.
GAUGAACGCUGGCGGCGUGCCUAAUACAUGCAAGUCGAGCGAACAGACGAGGAGCUUGCUCCUCUGACGUUAGCGGCGGACGGGUGAGUAACACGUGGAUAACCUACCUAUAAGACUGGGAUAACUUCGGGAAACCGGAGCUAAUACCGGAUAAUAUAUUGAACCGCAUGGUUCAAUAGUGAAAGACGGUUUUGCUGUCACUUAUAGAUGGAUCCGCGCCGCAUUAGCUAGUUGGUAAGGUAACGGCUUACCAAGGCGACGAUGGGUAGCCGACCUGAAAGGGUGAUCGGCCACACUGGAACUGAGACACGGUCCAGACUCCUACGGGAGGCAGCAGUAGGGAAUCCUCCGCAAAGGGCGAAAGCCUGACGGAGCAACGCCGCGUGAGUGAUGAAGGUCUUCGGAUCGUAAAACUCUGUUAUUAGGGAAGAACAAAUGUGUAAGUAACUAUGCACGUCUUGACGGUACCUAAUCAGAAAGCCACGGCUAACUACGUG